Non-coding RNA from Cajanus cajan (pigeon pea), 2354 nucleotides. The record is from RefSeq and is a predicted model, not a curated record. NCBI's taxonomy places the organism in Eukaryota, Viridiplantae, Streptophyta, Magnoliopsida, Fabales, Fabaceae.
UCACCCGGUACAACACAAACUCUAACUCCUUAUCCUCCUUUCUCUCUCUCUCUCUCUCUCUCGCAGCUACACAACCUCCAAUGGCUUCUCAGAUCUAAGCGUAGCAGCGGAUAUUCUCGUAUUCGUCUUCUUAACCCAAAACGACACCGUUUCGCUAGGUAGCUUCACCAUGCCGAGACUAGCCUACUCCUUCCCUGAGGAGGUGCUGGAGCACGUGUUCUCCUUCAUCGAGUGCGACAAGGACCGCGGCUCCAUCUCCCUCGUCUGCAAGUCCUGGUACGAGAUCGAGGCCUGGUGCCGCCGCAGGGUCUUUGUCGGGAACUGCUACGCGGUGAGUCCGGCCACCGUGGUCAAGCGCUUCCCCAAGGUGAGAUCCGUGGCCAUCAAGGGCAAGCCGCACUUCGCUGACUUCAAUUUGGUCCCCGAGGGUUGGGGCGCCUACGUCUUCCCUUGGAUCAAGGCCAUGGCUGCUGCCUACCCUUGGCUUCAGGAGAUCAGGCUCAAGAGGAUGGUCAUCACCGACGAGUGCUUGGAACUCAUCGCCAAAUCCUUCAAGAACUUCUCCGUCCUCGUCCUCACCUCUUGCGAGGGUUUCACUACCGAUGGACUCGCUGCCAUUACCGCCAAUUGCAGGAACUUGAGGGAGUUGGAGUUGCGGGAGAGUGAAGUGGAGGACAUUUGUGGGCAUUGGCUAAGCCAUUUUCCUGAUUCGUACACGUCGUUGGUUUCCCUUAACAUUUCUUGCUUAGGCAAUGAGGUGAAUUUGUCUGCCCUAGAGCGUCUGGUUAGUAGGUGUACCAACCUGCAGACUCUCCGCCUCAACCGUGCAGUGCCCCUUGAGAAGCUAGCCAACCUUCUUCGCGGUGCUCCUCAGCUCGUUGAGUUGGGCACCGGAACCUACUCGACGGAGAUGCGACCGGAGGUCUUUGCAAACUUAGCAGAAGCAUUUUCUGGGUGCAAGCAAUUGAAGAGCUUGUCUGGAUUCUGGGACGUGCUCCCAUCCUACCUUCCGGCUCUUUAUCCUGUCUGCUCCAGCCUCACGUCAUUAAACUUGAGUUAUGCAACUAUUCAAAGCUCUGACCUUAUCAAGCUUGUUAGUCAAUGUGAGAGUUUGCAGCGUUUAUGGGUGCUGGAUUACAUAGAAGAUGCUGGACUUGAAGUGAUUGCUGCAUCGUGUAAGGAUCUGAGGGAGUUGAGGGUCUUUCCCUCUGACCCAUUUGGGUUAGAACCAAAUGUUGCGUUGACAGAGCAGGGACUUGUUUCUGUCUCUGAAGGCUGCACCAAGCUUCAGUCAGUUCUAUAUUUUUGUCGUCAAAUGUCGAAUGCUGCCUUGGAUACAAUUGCUAGGAACAGACCUAAUAUGACUCGUUUUAGGCUCUGUAUUAUUGAGCCUCGAGCUCCUGACUAUCUUACCCGUGAACCUCUGGAUGCUGGUUUUGGAGCUAUUGUAGAGCAUUGCAAGGAUCUUCGGCGCCUUUCCCUUUCUGGGCUCCUUUCGGAUCGAGUUUUUGAGUAUAUUGGGACUUAUGGUAAGAAGCUUGAGAUGCUUUCUGUGGCUUUUGCUGGAGACACUGAUUUGGGACUCCAUCAUGUGCUGUCUGGGUGUGACAACCUUAGGAAGCUGGAGAUCAGGGACUGCCCCUUUGGUGACAAAGCCCUUUUGGCGAAUGCUGCAAAGCUGGAGACAAUGCGAUCCCUUUGGAUGUCCUCUUGCUUGGUGAGUUACGGAGCGUGUAAACUGCUGGGUCUGAAACUGCCGAGACUUAAUGUUGAAGUCAUUGAUGAAAGAGGACCUCCAGAUUCAAGGCCAGAUAGUAGUCCUGUUGAGAAGCUAUACAUAUACAGGACCGUUUCUGGGCCAAGAUUGGACAUGCCAGGCUAUGUAUGGAGAAUGGAAGACGAUUCUGCAUUAAGGGUUUCUUGAGUGGAACGAGCCGUGAAAUUUAUGAAGCAUUUGAUGUGAGAAUUGUUGGUGCAGAAUUGAUCGGUGCUGUGGAAUAAACAAUCGGAAUGACUAAAUGAGAUAACCGCGUCUCCUAGUCCCAACGUAUGUGAACAGAGGGCUGGCUCUGCUGGUGGAAAGGUUUUUACAGUUUGACUGAGCGGUUUUACAUUGUUUCCAUCGGUUUUUACCUUAAUCUUGCAUCCAAGUCCAUUUUUUGGCUGCCUACGUUGGGUUUGAUAGAAUAUCUCGUUCAAAAAUAGAGUUAAAGCUGAAGAUAGUAAAACUUGCAAUGUUAUCUAAAGUAACAUUAAUUUGUAGCCUUGAUACCACCAGUGAUGAAAUUGUGAUUAUGUCAUUAAUCUCCGUCAUUGGAAUGAUCUCUUUUCACUCAAAGUUUUAAGGUUCGUUU